This 2602-nucleotide long non-coding RNA is filed under the name Linum usitatissimum (flax). Its description in RNAcentral is "long non-coding RNA (LUSI_LNC004285)". Lineage: Eukaryota; Viridiplantae; Streptophyta; Magnoliopsida; Malpighiales; Linaceae. The record is from RNAcentral.
AUACACAUGUAUGCUAAUUGAUAAAAUUGGGGUGCAGAGUAUUGGAUGAAUGAAAUGAUUUUUCAUUUCCCGCCAAAUUUUGACGCUCCACAGUUAAGUGAAACGGUGCGCUCAAGGCUCGCAAGGAUAAGACUGAAAACGUCACCGUUCCAACUCGUCUCUUCCAGCUCAUCGUCCUUCUCCUUUCUGAAUUUUCUCCUGCAACCUCUGAACAUUUCUGUUAGAGCUCCAACGCUCAUAGCCAGCUAAUCAGCUGUGCAAUUUGUCGUCUUUCUUACCUUCCUUCUUGUAUAUGAACUGAUGAUUGAAGAAAUGAAAAGCUCGAGUUGUUUUCCCUAAAAUUCCAACAGCGUUAACUCCUGUCAAAUAACCCUGUCAACCUUCCUACUCCUGCCACGCCCCAACCUGAAGCAGAACAAAUGCUCCCUGAUGAGCAUGGACAGUCCUCUAACAGUGAUAGUGAGGAUGAAUCAAUCACACAUCAAGCCACUCCAAUCCAAUCACCUCCUACACAAAGCUCCCCACAUAACAGAAAAAGCACCAGAACUCAUAAACCACCAUCCUACCUGCAGGACUAUCACUGUCAACUCCUUGUGCAGCAAGGGGAAACCAAUCAGGGUGCUCCAAAGGUAUGUCCUAAACUGCAUAAUGGUGGAAAGAUAGUUCACCCCCUUAGCACUGUGCUCUCUUAUGAUGAUCUAAGCCAUGAGCAUAAGCAUUUUGUUUUGAGCAUAACAACAGAGAAGGAACCAAAGUCUUAUGCAGAGGCAGUGAAAGAUCCCAGAUGGAUUGACGCUAUGAAUCAGGAAACUAAUGCACUGGAGGCCAACAAAACGUGGGAGGUGGUUGACCUACCUACAGGAAUGAAAGAAGUAGGUAGCAAAUGGGUCUACAGGAUCAAGUAUAAGUCAGAUGGCUCCAUUAAGAGAUUCAAGGCUAGAACAGCUGUCAAAGGUUACACUCAAGAGGAAGGAAUUGACUAUCAAGAAACAUUCUCACCAGUGAUAAAAAUGACCACCAUCAGAACCUUCCUAGCCCUGGCAGCUUCCAGAGACUGGUUUGUACAUCAAUUGGAUGUGAACAAUGCUUUUCUUCAUGGUGAUCUACAUGAGAAAGUCUAUAUGAAACCUCCUCAAGGUCUGAAAGUCGACAGUUCCUUAAAAAGACCAGUUUGCAGACUGCUUAAGUCAUUAUAUGAGCUGAAACAAGUUUCCAGACAAUGGUACUACAAGCUCUCAGAAAAGUUACAGGAGAUAGGAUACACACAAAGGAAAGUGGAUCACUCUCUCUUCUUGAGAAGCACUGGUAUGUCCUUUACAGCAGUAUUAGUCUACGUUGAUGAUAUGAUAGUUGGAGGAAAUGAUUUUUCAGAAAUUUCAAGACUUAAGGAGGCACUGCACAAUGCAUUCAAAAUUAAAGACCUAGGGGAGCUAAAAUACUUCCUAGGUCUCGAAGUUGCAAGGAAUGUUUCAGGAAUUCAUUUAUCACAAAGGAAGUAUGUACUGGAGUUGCUGGAGGAGACAGAUAUGCUAGAAAGCAAACCAGUGGCCACACCAAUGGAUUACAAGUCACAUUUAUCCUCAAUUGGUGACGAUGAGUUUCACGACCCUGAGUUAUACAGAAGAAUAGUAGGGAAGCUAAUCUAUCUGAACAACACAAGACCAGACAUAAGCUUUGCCACUCAACAAGUAAGUCAAUUCAUGUCCAAACCCUUAAACAUUCACUACAAAGCUGUUACAAGAAUAUUAAGGUAUUUGAAAGGGGUUCCUGCCACUGGAAUUCUUCUGUCUUCCACUUCAAGUCUUCAGCUGCAAGCGUACAGUGACUCAGACUGGGCAGCUUGCCCUGACACUAGAAGAUCAGUCACUGGAUAUUGUGUGUUUCUAGGCAAUUCACCAAUCUCCUGGAAAAGCAAGAAGCAGUCCACUAUUUCCAGAAGUUCCUGUGAGGCAGAAUACCGUGCUCUUGCCCACACAACUAGUAAGCUCCAAUGGUUGCUCUACCUACUUGCAGAAUUUCAAGCACAACACCACCAAGCAGCAAUGAUCUUCUGUGACAAUCAAUCUGCAAUUCAUGUGGCAGAAAAUGCUGUGUUUCAUGAGAGACCAAAGCAUAUAGAAUUGGAUUGCCACUUUAUCGGAGAGAAGGUUCAGUCCAGAACCAUCAAGCUCAUUCACGUUCCAACGAAUCACCAGGUAGCAGAUGUCCUGACAAAAGCUCUAUCCCCAUCCAUUCCUUUACCUGAGCUCCAAGCUUGGUUUGCACAAUCUGUGCCCACCAGCUUGAGGGGGGUAUUGGAUGAAUUAAAUGAUUUUUCAUUUCCCGCCAAAUUUCGACGCUCCACAGUUAAGUGAAACGGUGCGCUCAAGGCUCGCAAGGAUAAGACUGAAAACGUCACCGUUCCAACUCGUCUCUUCCAGCUCAUCGUCCUUCUCCUUUCUGAAUUUUCUCCUGCAACCUCUGAACAUUUCUGUUAGAGCUCCAACGCUCAUUGCCAGCUAAUCAGUUGUGCAAUUUGUCGUCUUUCUUACCUUCCUUCUUGUAUAUGAACUGAUGAUUGAAGAAAUGAAAAGCUCGAGCUGUUUUCCCUAAAAUUCCAACA